Molecule: ribosomal RNA, 253 nt
Filed under: uncultured bacterium
Lineage: Bacteria
Description: partial 16S ribosomal RNA
Rfam family: Bacterial small subunit ribosomal RNA
Source: RNAcentral
UACGGAGGGUGCAAGCGUUAUUCGGAGUUACUGGGCGUAAAGGGCGCGUAGGCGGUCUGUUAUGUCUGAUGUGAAAGCCCUGGACUUAAUUCAGGAAGUGCAUUGGAAACUGGCAGGCUAGAGUAUAGGAGGGGAGAGCGGAAUUCCUGGUGUAGAGGUGAAAUUCGUAGAUAUCAGGAGGAACAACAGUGGCGAAGGCGGCUCUCUGGACUAUAACUGACGCUGAGGCGCGAAAGCGUGGGUAGCAAACAGG